ACGAAAAAUUAGGUGUCUAUUUACUUGUGACCACUAAGUGUAUAUAUAUAUAUACACAUAUAUAGUUGUGUUAAACUGAUCAUUUCAAUAUGCUCCUUUGUUUAACCUAUUAUGUUUACCAUUUUCUUUUGUACAUAAAUCUUAUGCAUAAAAUAAAUAAAAUCCUAUUUUGUUAAACUUGUAUUGUUUGCAAAUCCACUAAUACUAAAGGGUACUAAGAGAAAUAUAAAACACAAAGUACAUAUUUACUAAAAAAGAGAACUGUAAGUCAACAGAAGAGUCAUUAAGUAUUCUUCUAAGAAUGACUAUAUUCAUGCAACAAUAUAAAGCAAGAAAUCACACCAAGAGUAAACAGUACAAUUAGUGAUUAUAAUUAAAGACCAAAUAUACUCAUUCAAAAUUGUAAAGCUAGAAACUACACUGAGAGUCAACAGUACAAUCAGUAAGUAUAAUUUUAUUUAUUUACAUGCUAGAAAAGGUUAACACUGGCCAAAGCAUAAAGUUUUCCUUCUUCCAGUUCUGGAGUUCCAGCACAGCAUAUGUUUCUGUAAGCAGUCCAUGUACCAUUUCACCAUACCUAAUUCCAAACCACCAGCCAGCAGCAUCAAAUUUCUUUAAACCUUGUUAUUAUUAAUUAUUGUGUAUCACUUUUUUCUAAUUUUUAACAUUGUAAAUAAAAUUAUUUUAAUAUUACUUACACUAUUAUUUUACACUUGAGGAGUUUAGCACAGGUUUUCAUUUUUCCAAUAAUCUCAAAGUUCUGUUUAUAUUGCCAAUUCAAUUUGAUAUAAGUAGCAUCUGUACUUGUCACAUACUUAUAUGUUUGCUUCACUUCCAUAUUCCCCUCACUUUUCUCCUGUCUUCUACCAGUUACUCAUGUCACUUCUCUUCCAUGUUUUUCCUGUUCCCUCAGAGCACAUGCCAUUUCAUGUACAACAUCACUUGGAGUUCUUACCAGGUUGCCCAAUAGCUGUGCUUUACCAUUUACUGUCAGUGGUCUCCUUUCUGUUUGAAUGAUAUAUUGCUGUUACUGGAAUAUAGUUCAGAAGAGUCUUCAAGUUUCUGAAAGGAACAGAAGAAAUUUAUCAAACUUCAUGUGCCAUCCCUAAACCAAAAAUUAUUGAAGAUGUUGAUGGUAGUGUGCUGGAACUUCUACGAGUAAGACGACGACGCCCAUAUAACACAUACAGCAGUGAAGAACGGUUCCUGAUUGGGCAGUAUGCAGCUCAACAUGGAAACACCAAAGCAGCAGAGUAUUUUACUAAGAUGUUAAAAAAAGAAAUAUCUGAAAGUGUUGCAAGAAGAUUCAAGAAUAUUUAUCUUAAGUUUAGGAAAUAAUAUAGGUUCAAAAAAGAAACAAAUUAAUUACUGUACAUCUGACUGUUUAAGCAACAUAGUCAGUGAAGAGAAAGAAAAUAAUGGAAGUAAAUGCUUGUCACUAACUUUGUUAUUUGUCAGGUCUUCUUUGCUUUGUAAUAAAAUGUAUGCUUCAAAUAUAUUUUGGGCAAAGUUAAUUUCUGUGUAAUUACCUAUUUUUGGGUUUUGCAUGAGAGAUGUAUCCAAACUUUGGCUCUGAAAAGAUUGAAUCAAUCAUUGAUCUGAUUGCUCCAAGUAUGUUUGGAUCAACUGAUGAUCUUAAAUCCUUGAGUUACUUUGCAUCACAACUUGAGCCUAAACCUUUGUAAAGGUCCCUAUUAGUCCAGAUUGUAAAUUCCUAAGUUAGUUUCCAUUAAGACUUUACCCUAAGCCCCUUUUAAAGUUUUUAUUAGUCCCUGAUCUUAAACUCUUGAGUUAAAUGGGAUAAACUUUCAGUUUUUAGCCUCUGAGUAUAUCUUCUUGAGCCUGAGAGUACACUUCAAACAAUUUCUUAUCCUGUUUUGCUCAAAUAGUAUUUAAAAUUAAUCUCUAUAAUUCAUCUGGUUUGAAGACCUAGAACAGUAUUUUAGAUUUAGCCCCUUAUUUCAUCUAAUUUGUAAAUGUAGAACAAUAUUUUUAAUUUAGUUGCUUAGUUCAUUGGGUUUAAAGACCUAAGACAGUAUUUAAAGUUAGCUCCUUAAUACACCUUGUUUGAAGACCCAGAACAUUAUUUAAAAAUAGUCUUCUUAGUUCACUUGGAUUGAAGACCUAGAGCAUUACUUGCAAUUAAGCAUUCACCUGGUUUGAAGGCCUGGAACACUAUUAAAAAUUAGGUUUCUUAUUUGGACAAGAUUAAUAUCUUAUCUUAAGCCACUGAGACAACUGGGGUUAAUACAUGAUCUCAAUAUUGUUGGGAAACAUUGUAUUAAACGAAAAGAAAUGCAGUUUUUUUUAUAUAUUUCAAUUUAUUCCACAACUUUGUUCAAGAACUAAGCAACCACCAAACUUCUGAAUAAGUACGUGAAAAUUGAUACUCUUGUAAAAUACUCAAAACUGUUAAAUUUUCAGUUGAGGGUUAUUUUAGAGUUUUGAUUUGAUGUAAUUUUAAUAAUGUCUCUUACAAAAAUGUGACUUCUAUUUCAUUUAAUACAGGCUUCACUCACAUUUUCAAACAAAUCUGGGUACCAGAAAUUAAUUUUAGAUAGAUAAAUUUCAACGUAUGGUAUAUUGUCUUCCAAAACAAGUUAUGUUUCCAAACUUAGAGUAAUGAAAGUUCCAUAUCAACCAUUUUUGAGAGAAAUGCAUGAACUGUAGUGAACAAAGGUUAGAAUCUGAUUUUAUGUACUUUCGUGAAAAUGUUCUCAUUAAAAAGUAUCUAUAGAUAUCUGUUUGACUAAAAAAAAAAGCAUUAUGAUUUUCAGGUUAAGAAAGUUUUGUAUGGUUGUUCUUGCAGAAGCAGUGACUAUCAAUUGACAAACAUUUUUUUUAUCUUGAUCUUAGUGUCUUUGUACAACCAGCUUAUUACACCAUGAAAAGUUACUUGAAAAUAUUUUUCUUCAACAUGCUAUGAAUUGUGGAAAAAAUAACAGACAUCAAGUAUAUGAUAAAGUUUUACAACUAAAAAUAUGAAAAAAAGGAAAUAAAAAAAUUAACACAGGAUAUGUUAUAGUAUCCUGGGUUUUCUUUGCUGAUUGGAAACACUACCAAGCACAGGAAUUUUCUUUUCAUUGGAUGAUAUUUAUGAUUUUGUUCAAGUUACUUGCUCAAAAGACAGCAGCAAUCGAUCCUGGACUCUCGACCAAAUGAUUUUUGCUAUUCAUGCUGUUGUAGAUAAAGGCAUGUCAUAUCGAGAAGCCUCAGCAAGCUGUGGCGUUAAAAGAACUAGGCUGUGUGAUCUAGUUAGAGCAUUUCGGCAAAAGGUUGAAGAAAAGGGCCAAACAGAGUCUACUUCAUUUUUCAGCAGCAGAGGCAAAACAAGUGUUUUCUUCCUGUUAUCAAGGACUCCUUAAGAAGAAGGCAUAAUGGGGACAUUUUGCAAGAUUAACUACUCUUAAGAUUAAGGAGCCUGAAUUUGAGGGGUAUGAACCUAGCAGAGCCAUUGAAUAUUGGCCUACUCUGGAUGGCACCAAGUGAGCAAAGAUUGGCUACAAGAGCAGUUACAAGUCAUACAGUGUCCAAGCAAGGAGUCCACUGUCACAUUUGUAAUAAAUAUUUGAAUACUCGGUCAUAUCUUAGAAAGCAUCUAGCUCUGCAUGAAGGCACCUGUCCUGAGUUUGAAUGUGACAUUUGUCACAAAGUUUUUAACUGGAAAACCAACUUGGUUCGUCAUAAGUAUGCUGUGCAUAAGGAAACACACAAUAGCGAGUUUUCAAACAUAAGUUUGCGUGACUCUUCAUUUUAAAAUCUCUGUUUCCCAAAUACAUGUAUUUUUAAACUUGCAUAAAUUUUCAUCAAAAGAUCUUAAUGGAUGUUAGUAGUAAUCCAUUUAUUUCAUUAAUGAGAUAAAAGCAUAGAUUAUCCUAUGUGGGAUUUCGAUUGUUUUAAUUAUUUACAAAUAGUGCAGUCAGUUUAAAUUUAGAAGAGUUUAAGAUUUUUUUAGGCAUUAUUAACCUGCUGUGUUUUUAUAAAGUAAAUUAUAGAUUUUUUAAAUUAGCAGAGUUACGUAGAAUUUCAUACUGGUCAUAUUUCUAAUUAAUUUUCAAAGAUUGUCAAACAGGGCAUGAUCUUUAUGUAUCCAUAUAUCAUUUUAUGCUUUUUGGAAGUUUUUAUUGAUUUUUGUAUUUCAAUGAUAUGACCUGAAUAAAAUUAUUUUGUAAGGAUUGAAUCUCUCUACUUAUUUUUUCUUUAAUUUACUGUGGUUAUUUGAAGACAUUUAUUAUAAGACUUGCAAUGAUAAGUAAGGUGUUUUACUAUGUCAGGUGUGUGGAACAGCAGUGUAAGGUCAAGUGGUUAAUUAUGUCAGAUGUGUGGAGCAGCAGAGUUAAGUCAGACAUAUUUUUAAAGUCAGAUGUUUAAAACAAUUUUAAGUUAAUGGUUUUA
This 4395-nucleotide long non-coding RNA is filed under the name Limulus polyphemus (Atlantic horseshoe crab). RNAcentral describes it as "uncharacterized LOC111086523, transcript variant X2". Lineage: Eukaryota; Metazoa; Arthropoda; Merostomata; Xiphosura; Limulidae. The record is from RNAcentral.